GAUGAACGCUGGCGGCGUGCCUAAUACAUGCAAGUCGAGCGAACAGACGAGGAGCUUGCUCCUCUGACGUUAGCGGCGGACGGGUGAGUAACACGUGGAUAACCUACCUAUAAGACUGGGAUAACUUCGGGAAACCGGAGCUAAUACCGGAUAAUAUAUUGAACCGCAUGGUUCAAUAGUGAAAGACGGUUUUGCUGUCACUUAUAGAUGGAUCCGCGCCGCAUUAGCUAGUUGGUAAGGUAACGGCUUACCAAGGCAACGAUGCGUAGCCGACCUGAGAGGGUGGUCGGCCACACUGGAACUGAGACACGCUCCAGACUCCUGCGGGAGGCAGCAGUAGGGAAUCUUCCGCAGUAGGCGGAAGCAUGACGGAGCAACGCCGCGUGAGUGAUGGAGGUCUUCGGAUCGUAAAACUCUGUUAUUAGGGAAGAACAGAUGUGUAAGUAACUAUACACGUAUUGACGGUACCUAAUCAGAAAGCCACGGCUAACUACGUG
This 497-nucleotide ribosomal RNA is filed under the name uncultured bacterium. RNAcentral describes it as "partial 16S ribosomal RNA". It matches the Rfam family "Bacterial small subunit ribosomal RNA", at positions 28 to 507 of the family's 1533-position model. The record is from RNAcentral.